GCGGGAAUAGCUCAGUUGGCAGAGCGUUGGCUUCCCAAGCCGAAGGUCGCGGGUUCGAGCCCCGUUUCCCGCU
Molecule: transfer RNA, 73 nt
Filed under: Bacteroidota bacterium
Lineage: Bacteria; Pseudomonadati; Bacteroidota
Also listed under: 1 other name
Description: tRNA-Gly
Rfam family: tRNA
About the family: Transfer RNA (tRNA) molecules are approximately 80 nucleotides in length. Their secondary structure includes four short double-helical elements and three loops (D, anti-codon, and T loops). Further hydrogen bonds mediate the characteristic L-shaped molecular structure. tRNAs have two regions of fundamental functional importance: the anti-codon, which is responsible for specific mRNA codon recognition, and the 3' end, to which the tRNAs corresponding amino acid is attached (by aminoacyl-tRNA synthetases). tRNAs cope with the degeneracy of the genetic code in two manners: having more than one tRNA (with a specific anti-codon) for a particular amino acid; and 'wobble' base-pairing, i.e. permitting non-standard base-pairing at the 3rd anti-codon position.
Source: RNAcentral